GCCCCACAUAUUAUGUGUAAUAUAGUGAUGGUGUUUAUGCUCAUCUGGAGUUCAUUUUUCAAUUUAAUUAGCUUGCUUUUGACGUUAAAUAACGUUCCUGUGGUAAAUAGUACAGUAGUUGACAAGUUGUUUACAUCAUUGCCUGUUUAAAAUACAGAUUGGUCGAUAGCAUGAACGUUGAGGUAAUAGAGCACCGUACUUUAAUGAACAUCAGAGGCUAUAAUGUGAAAUAUAAUGUUUUAAUCUUGCUGUCAUUUGCAGUAAAGUGGGCAGGUGAUCGGACCUUUGGAGAUUUGUCAUAUUACAUCAAAGAGCAUCAAACAAUGGACAAAGAAACUAAAGCCUCUGGAAUAGCUGUCCAGAACAACAAAACAUGAAGGGUGUUCCUCACCUGUAUGCGUGUCACAUCUGGCACUUGAUGUGCAAACAGCUGUGGAGCAUCUGGUGCCCGGUUCUGCCGAUAUGUUUUGGCUUUUUCUCUUGAUGGCGAGAUCUGUAACAUGCAGACUUCUGCAGCGGGACAGCUGUGGAAGAUCUCCAAAAGAACAUGAGAUUUUCAGACCUAGCAACAGUAACCAAGGCGGGCGGAGCUAGGAGUAGCUUCAAUUAACGGCUUCAUUAUCAUCAGACUGCUCUCCUCCAAGCUGAACUGAAGACAGGCUAAACCAGCUCUUAUCUGCCACCACUGCUCUUAACUUGCUUCAGAAGGGGGGGGGAGCAGAGUCGGGAAGAAAAGCAAAAUGAAAAAUGAAGCCCUUUUGCAUAAAACGGCAAGUUAUAGAAAUCUAAAACGGUUGCCGUGCAACUCUAAAUAAUCACCAUGCUUUCGGAGAUGAAUAUUUUACCAUAAUUUAGAGCUCUGGAAGUAAUCGCCAGUCUUAGAGAGUGAGGGUCUCCUCGGGGGGCUUGUUUCAGUCUGGUUUGUCUCACGUAGUGGACGGAAAAGAUUGAGAAACCCAAGCUCUGUUCUCUUGAAGGUGAGGAUCAGCUAAUACCCCCUCUUCUGUUUUUAAGGAGCAAAAAAACACAUGUUGUGUCAGAAUAUAUUUCGCUAACUAGCGUACAGACACACUGUCAUGUGUCACAGCGGUCCUUGAGGGCACGAACAAAGGCAAACAAAACUUGACAACUCGAAAACAUUAAGACGCAUGUUCUCGCAUCAUAUUCUGUUUAGAAUCCAAGAACGUUAUCUUAUGGUACAGAUGUUAACACAUUUCAAAACGAUACGUUUCACUUGGUACAGAAAUAUAGACUUGGUUAUUUGGUUUAUUUUCACCGUACGGGGGGGGAGGGCUUCAUCUCUCAGCAUUUGCAUUCCUUUAAACAUCCUCGUUUAACUCCCUUGGUAAUCACAGACUGCUAGCUGAGAUCCGAGCCCCGUUGACGGCUGUGGCGAGAUAGUGUAAAAAAAGUCUCAUUUGCAAAGGCUGGUGAAGUUGUGUGCUUUAAACUUUCCACUCAUCUUCUCUCUUAAUCACUCUCUCGAUCACUUUCUCUGCUUAUAAAAUCUCCAUUAGCAUAUUCUUCGUCUCAAGUUCAUAAAGAACCGCGUGGCCUAUGGACCGGCAAUGCAGAAUGCUGCCCAUUUAAUGAGCGACGCUCGGCAUCUCUGAUAUCAGCCUGAAAGUAUGCGCGCGACAUCGUAUUGAGCGCUUUCCUCAUAUGGCAUGUUCAAAACACACGCACAAAGAGUUUCAUUAUUUGAAAAGAUGAAUGAAAGGAAGAAGAAAGAAAUGUUUUGGCACUUCUGAAUUGAUUGUGCAGAAUAGGCUGUUCAGACGACAUUGUGACAGGUUCUCUCUCUUUUCGUGGCGGUUUGCUGAUACGGGGGCCUGAGAGAUGUGCCGGGCUCCUUUUAACUGCAAACACAGAUUCUGUUUGAAUGCAGUAUGAUAGCGCAGGCAUGGAGUGUUGUGGCUUCCGUCGGCUACCCUCGUCGCCGGCCUCUUUUUGAUGGUGUUUAUGUGAUGCACGUAGCAAGACACCGCUCGGGGGGGAGGCUUGUGUGGACCCUUUCUGUCUCGCAAAAAUGAACAGAAAGAACAACGCCUGCGUGUUACCUUGUUGCACUUAUUACUUUCCUGAGGUUAAUAAUAGAAGUCAUAUCAAAAUCAUAUUUUAUAUUAUCGUGAAUUAGACAGGAAUGCUUUAAAUAUAGGUAUUUAAUUGCAACGGACGAUACACAAAAUUGUACCACGUUACAGGAAAGAAGAAAAAUCAUGCACUUUAUAAACAAUUCCAGUCCUGAUGAGUGUGUAACAACAACAUAAACAAGCGUUACUUCACAUGCACACUUUUCUGGCCCAAACUUAACUUCCGGUACAAGAAUAGAGUACCUGUAGAUUAUUUCUGAAAACAAGCAAAAGAAAUAUCAAGUAAAUAAAUUUAGCUAGCCAGUGUUCAUUUGGGUUACCAGUAGAAGAACCGUUACUUGGCUAACAAAGUUACACGACCCAUUCAACAAAUUGCUUAUUUAAAAAAAAAUCAACAAAUUGUGUAUUAAAUACAAUUAUUACACAAUAAAAUAUGAAUAUAAUUGAAAUAUAAUAUAACAUAAAUAUUAUUGCACUAGCCAGACCGAUAAACAAACACAGACUUUAACAAAAGUUUACUUCGGGCCAGGUGCUUGCAUCCGAUGAAAUCGUCUAUAACAUACUGUAUGAGGUAAGCGCGCAUGUAUAUUGCUUAUCAUGUACUUUCCAUGAAAAAGUAAAAAAAGCCAUAGUUGAAUUACUCAAGAGUUUUCGAAACUUCAAAACUCAAGAGAGAAAUGCUAAAUCAUAAAGCUUUUUAGGACCAUCAAAAUGAAUUCUCAUUAAUGAUAAAUAUUCUCAUUCUCACCACUAUAAUAAAACAUAAUAUAGGCUAUUAUUACAUAGUGUAAUAGUGUGACAUAGUGUGUAGACAUAGUGUGAGAGAAAAAGGUUUUAGUAUAGUAUGUCAAACAGAAUAAAAAUGUCAUCCAUUUGUUUAUGUGAUAUAUUAUAUAAAGGCCUGCAUUAUGAAUGUGAACGACAACCAGAGCUCUAUUGACAUUGCACUGAAUCGGCUCCCCGGGGUUUAGUUUGGAUAAAGUGAAGAUCUGAUAAUUGUGAGACUGACGACGUGAAGGGUCUGAAAGAGAGCGAACGAGAGAAGAUGAGAAAAGAGGCAGGGCGACGUUCUGAUCGAGUGAAUGAUAGAGCUCUCCAGACGAACUUAAGAGAAAAGAACUAUAGCGCAGACGUGGAAAUGAAGCAGAUGAAGGGAACGCUCACAGCUGUCUCGCAGCAGAAGGAAACAGCGCUCUCCUGAUGUUCCAGGUGCAGAACCCCUCCCCUUCUCUUCUCGGUCUCUCUCUCAUUCUUUUUCUCUCUCUGAAGGUUGCGUGGCUCGAACGCCCUCAGUAAAUGUCAGAACAAGCUGCUGCUCUUCCCAGACCACGCAGUGGGAGAACCACCAACCUCAUCGCCUUGGCAACCCCUUGUCUCUCGUCCGAAAGAAGAAAGGGCGAGGAGGUGGAGAAGAAAAGGGCUUUUAUGCUUCCGUCCCCCCUGCGCGCACACACACACUAACAUGCCCGUCAUGCCCCCACCCACCCGAGAGACCUCUCUGAGACCUGGAACAUGUGGGUGAGCUCCCAGGCUUUCUGAAAAGAGUGCUUACAAAAAUAAGAAAGUGUUAGUGAUGUAACUAGAUUUACUGAUUUCAUUACCAUCAGGCCUUUUCACUUUUUUUGUUUCUUGGUUAAGAUUCGCUGUUUAUUUACCAAUUUACAGAGAAGGGAAUUGCUUUUUAUGAAGACGAGUUUGUAAACCAUCGCUAAAUUAGGUCGUAAUGAAAAAACUCAGAUGUGGUAUAUUUUAUCGUCAUAAAAUUGGACACCAUAUCAGGUUACCAAGGAUACGUCAGAGAGGGCGAGAGCAUCUUUUAUCAAGAAUGUCACUUGUAGAUUUACAAAAGAAAAUAGAAAGUGUUUUAAAUGUAAGAAGACAGAGAGGGGAAGAGAACGAUUAUUACACAGUAUAUGCGAAUGAAACCGUAAAUGAAAGGCAAGUAUACAUGAAAUCAUUAUUAUUUGUGUUUACAUUUAAACCAAUGGGAGAUUCUGUCACCUAAACCCGUACGCGUUUCUUUCUUCUGCAGAACACAAAAGAAGACAUUUUAAGAAAUGUAAUGUAAGUGAACGGGGGCCAAUGUUUUUGGUUACCAACAUUCUUUAAAAUAUAUUCUUUUGUGUUUGGAAUGACAUGAGGGUAAACAAAUAAACAAAGAAUCUUCAUUUUUCAUUGAGCCAUCUCUUUAAAGUGGCUGAACAGGUUGUCCUGACCCCGAGUCAAUAUGCUCAGGCGAACAAUAUUAAAAGUGGCACAUAGCCUCCGUGUGUAGUGUUCAGGAAUAUCAAGCUGCGAAUUGCUUCGUUCUCUUUGCACAUUACACUGGCAAAGAAAGAAACAUCUUUCCCAAAGUAUAACAUUAAUAAAAAUGCACUGCACGCCUGAGAUGCCGAGAUGAUCUACUGUAUAAAACCAACUUGAAAUGGAAUCUAUCUCUCAAAAAGAACAAGAGCUUCAGUUUUGGACACGCAUGAUGCCUUUAAAUCUAUAAUAUUUUCCUCCACUGCGUGAGCUCCGUAUUCUCCGUGCAAAGGAAGCUUUGUGUGUCAUCAGACCACAUGGGGCCAUUUUGUUGGAUGGUACUUUGAGACUGCAGGUGCUCUUUCCAUAAUGGCUGCUGGGACUGCAUUUCUUCCUCAAAAGUGCCCUGUCUGUCUCUCCCGGACUCCCUCUCCCUGUGCGCCACCUCUUACUGCGUCUCUGCAGCUGAGCUCGUACCUCUUGAAAGCUGUUGUUUGUGCGGUCUUUUCCGAGAAAGAGAGAGAGAGAUGGGGUGGGUGUGUGUCUGGUUUUAUGGCGAUGUUCCAUCAGGUCGCUGUGGUGACAGCAUUUAGCAGAGCUCCCCGGGGAGAGAGAGAGGACGGUAAAACGAAAGAGCGGGACGGUGAAUAAGUCCAGAAACAUACUUUACGCAAGUAUUUAAAUGCAGAUGAGAAUUGUUGGCCGGCACAUUGCGAGCGCGGCCCCGUUGAGCUUACUGGAGGUAAAAAGCCUCAUUUAAGAGUGCGAUGGAGUUGCCGUCAAUCGUGUUGUGGUGUUAUUUAGGCCGUUAGUUAAAAAGGUGUCCACUUUUAACUCGCUCAGCAAGAUUUUCUUUGAAUUGUUGCUCUGAAAGAACUGUCAACAGCUCCAUUUUGUGAUUAUUUGCAUUGCUUUAUGAAUUGCUGUCUGACACGUGUUGGAAUAAAGCAAUACACAGAAAUAAGUUUGAGGCAGUGUUACAUUUAAGAUGACUUAAACAAAUUUUUUAAUUGGAUCAACUUAAGUAAUAACGUCUGUAAAAUAACAUUUAUUGGGCGGAAACUUAGUUUCUACAAAGAUAAAAGCUAUUAACAAGACCACAUGGAUUAACAAGACUCCCCAUCCACUGCCAUUACAAUGAAUGGGGAGAAAUUCAUCGCUUAAGCUUAGCAAACCAAAGUUAUGGUACAGUUUACGUGAGGUUUAAUUAUUGAUCGGAAGUGUUCUCUUUAAUUCUGAUUUCUGCCAACGAUUUUAGAAAUAUAUGCCUGUUGUCGUAAAUAGCUGCCUGGAGGCGUUGCAAACAUGGCCGCCGAGUGGCACGACUUCCGUGAACAGACUUUGUUUUCUAGCAGCUUUAAUAAUAGAGAAAAUGCUUUUUUCUCGUUGUUCGCUAAAGAUGUUGUCUUUUUUAAACUCUUCAUGUUUUAACUGUUUGUCAUUGCUUUUAAUUGCUCUUAUUUGUUCAGCAUUUGGUCAACAAGUGCUGUUUUUAAUGUGCUAUAAAAAUGUAAUUUCUGACUGAAAGGUCAUGCUUUAUUUUGCUCUUAAUUCAUCUAACCAAAUAAGCCCAAUGUCCGCAUGAAAACCAUGAAAAAAUACGCAAGUUAAAAGAAAACGUUAACCAUUUCUGUUCGGCUUAUGUCUUAACCCGAUUUAAUGGGAAUUUGUAACUAUUCUAUUAGGUGGCUAAUUCGUAUGAAUUUGUACAAUGUGAAUCGUGCAAAAACAUAUGAUUAUUACAAAAAGCAAUACUUGAAGGGAUAGUUCACCCAAAAAUGAAAAUUCUCUCAUCAUUUACUUAGCAGCUUGUCGUUUCGAACCUGUAUGACUUUCUUUCUUCCGCAGAACACAAAAGAAGAUAUUUUGACGAAAGUGGGUAACCGAACAGAGCUGUCACCCAUUCACUUCUAUUGCACGGGCACAAAACCAAUGCAAGUCAAUGGGUGCCGGUCAACAACAUUCUUUUAAUUUUCACUUUAAGCCCCUCCCCUAAUGCCACCCCUAAACCUCACGUCACUGGUGCAAAAGCAAAUCGUGCUAAAACAUACUUAUAAGAUCGUACGAAUUCAUACGAAUUAGCCACCUUUCAUAAAAAUUACGAAUUCCCGUGAGAUCGUGUCGUAUGUCUUGUUAUUGAUUUAGCAAAUUGCAGACUAUGCUUCGUCUCAAUUGUAAAAUCUCUUUUACAAAAGCAAAAACCAGUUCAGAACCACUGUUUCACACCUAACAGGGACCGUAAGAUGUAAAAUGAUUCUGUUAGUGUUGCAGUCGGUCAGGUCUUAAAGAGCCAUCUGGUUGCAAGUUAAAGACUAUAGUUAACACUGUCAAGAAGUCCACGAGACACUCUCGCUCUCCCUCCAUCGCUCUUUCCUUUUAUUCCUUUCACACAACUGGUGUAAUUGUCCCUCAAACAGAAUAUUCUCAUCGCUCUCUCUCUCUCUCUGUUCCGCGUUGGUCUGUUCUUUCGCACAUGUUUUUAAUGUUUCCACUGACAGCUCAACAAUAUAUCUUAUUUCGUUCUCCUUAUCUUUGUCAUUCAUUCUGGCUGUCUCUUGCUUUCUAUUCCAUAGUUUCAAACUCUCAAUCUCUCGCUUUCUCUCUGUCCUCAACGUAGCAAUUUCCUUUAAGUCACUCUUAACAAUGCUUCCACUCUCUCUCCCUUUCAAAAUGACAUACAGCCUAUCCAGCACAUGUCUUUUUCACUCUAUAUAUUAGAAGCUCUCUCUAUGUUAACUGCCGUGAUGUUAUGUGAGUUUAGGAGUUUUUAGUCUCGGUUCUUGGGAGACACGUGUGCUUUUUAUUGGGUGACUCCUCAACGACACAACCCUGGGGUCAGGGAAACAAUAUUUUUCAUAUCUUGGGGAUUUUUGAGUUGUACGUUUGGCCACCCCUGAAUCCACUGAGGCCAUAUGAACUUGAAUAAAAGUUCGUAUGUGUUUGAAAUGUGUGUUGCAAGCACAUAACAGGCUUAAGAUUUUGACCUGAUGGGUUUGACUUGGACUGGUAAGCAACCAAGUUUUGCAACUCAUAAUUCGUCGCAAAAUUGACAAAUCUAUUCUUUCUAUGUCUUGUGUCAAUGUUAGUAUGUGUGAGGCGUCGUCCAUAUGUGGGUUUUUAAUAUGUGUGUGUGUCUAAAUUUGUUCCUUUCUGCUUCAGUGCCUUGACCAGGCGGCAGUGACCUGUGCCGUCUAGCUUCCGCAUAACCUCAGGUCUUUAGGGAGAUCCUUACCUUUCAUGUGCCCUUCCACCAAUGUCACAGCAAAUACUACUCUAGGAGAACAGAAAGAUUUUUCACCCUGCCUUACCCCAUCACCGGUGACAUGCGCUGAAGUUUGUGCUGCUCUUGACAGACCGGAGAACUUUGAGGACAUCCUGACCUUUCCUUGAGGGUGGAAUCACAGGGACGAGGCAGGAGAAGGAAAGCCCAGCUGACAGCCAUAGAGAAAGAGUCCAGAGCCCCCCAGCCGUCAGUGGAGACAUCACCAUCUGGAGCGAGGCCUUCACAACAUGCUGGGCCUGUCAAAAAGACGAAGCUCUUUUCACAGCAUACUUUUGUCCAUCCUCUCUCUCCUCCGGUGGAGCUCUCACUAUCCUGCAGAGCUUUCACAGUUCUCCUCUCCACAAAGCCCUCCCACCGCACGGAUUGUUCCGUUCGUCGGCAGGAGGGAGGAACCGGAUGGACAUCACUCAUCCGGGAUUCUACAGAAAAGUUAACCAGUAGAAUGGGUAGAUUUACACUAAUCCUUUGAUGGUUAUCGACAUUCUUUUGGUGUUAAAUCGGGGUGAAUGCUGAAUAAUGAGCUGUCAUUGACUUUGUCCAAUAUCAAAAGUGUUUACGUCUGGUGUUAAAUAUCAAUGAGUUUUGAACGUAAUUUGAACAUUUGUGUUUUUGGUAGCUUGACAGUUUUAUUAUUAGAUUGUCAUUUCACAGUAGCUUUCAUAUUCCUUACGAAAUAAAAAUAUAUGGGAAUAUGUUCGAAAAUAAAAUGCAAUAUUUUA
Long non-coding RNA from Triplophysa rosa, 8339 nucleotides. RefSeq lists it as uncharacterized. NCBI's taxonomy places the organism in Eukaryota, Metazoa, Chordata, Actinopteri, Cypriniformes, Nemacheilidae. The transcript is spliced from 7 exons. The record is from RefSeq and is a predicted model, not a curated record.